Molecule: long non-coding RNA, 890 nt
Organism: Artibeus jamaicensis (Jamaican fruit-eating bat)
Lineage: Eukaryota; Metazoa; Chordata; Mammalia; Chiroptera; Phyllostomidae
Exons: 5
Source: RefSeq, a predicted model, not a curated record
GUCCUUGUUCUGCUUGGGGGGCUUUAAGGAAGCAAAUGGACUUUCAGAACAGAGCUUGUCAAUAAAGGUUUUUUGACACUUCUAAUUAUAUCAAGAAGAAAGUUUCAGGCUGGAGCUGACAAAGAACUUGCUAACACUUUUCCUUUUUAAGAAAUAGAAGGCAAGCCUCGGGCUCAGAGUUUUCAGCAGGUCAGUCAUGGACCCACUAAAUACUUGGAAACACACCUAUAGCUUUGUUUGUAGUGGAGUCAUGUUCUCAGAAGACUAUCAAUAUAUUAACUGCACUGACUGUCCGUAUGAACUCAGCAAGUUGCCUGACCCUUCUGUACCACUUUCCUCAUCUGUAAAGAGGAGAUAAUAAUAGAUCCUAUCUCAGAGCUUUGUUAUGAAGAUUAAAUUAAAAUUCAUAAUCUUCACCUCUUCUGGAAUGCACUAUAUAGAGGGCAACGAGCUUAAACGUUGGAAUAUGAGAGAUCUGAAGUCAGACUCUGUUAAGUUCUCUGAAUUAGUGACAGGCAAGGCUCUGACCCUUGGUAAUCCUUUCUGUAGUGUGUGGCUGACAUCCAUUUUGCAGAGUGGAGAAGAUUAGGGACAAUGUAUAAAGGAAUGUGCACUCUGGAUGUGUAUCCCUGAUACAGACCACACUGGACACCAACUCAGGCAUUGGGGAAACGUUCUGUGACAGCUGAGUUUAGACAUGCUGAUCAUCGAGCUCCUUGAUGCAAAGCUGCUAAUAUCUCUCAUCUCCAGCUGACGGAGGCUGGUGCCACUCUGAAGCAUUGAGAGAUGCCAUGCCAAUUUAUGCGAGGUCUUUAUUGCUGAAACUCUUGCAUAAUGACAUCUUUAUUCAUGUGAAAAUACAGGAUAAAUUCCAACUAUAGGAUAUUGUU